AUGGAGGGACCCGGCUGGCAGCGGGCGGGCCCCUGCGGGACACUAGGCAAACGACAGCCCCACCCCGGCCAGUCCCCGCCGCAGCCCGGCUCGGGAGAUGGGCCGGGUCCCCGCCCCCAUCCCACCCCCGCGCCCUGGGGCGCAGGCCGGAGAGCCAACACCCUGCCUCAGCGGCUCGGUGCGUCCGGGUGGGGCGCAGGGGGCAGGCCUGGAAGGUCGGGGUUGCUGCGUGACCUUGGCCAGAAGCCAAAGCUCUCCAGGGAACCAGAAGGCCCCUAGGGGAUGGCAGAGCCCUGAGAAGGGAGAAACCUGGAUCCCUGAAGAGCUAGCUGGAAGCCCGCCCUCUGGUUGUGCUUUUCUGUAGCAAAGGCACUUGGUGUAUUAGUUUUCUUUUGUGUAAAAAUGAUCCCUAGACUGGCAUAAAAACAGACAUGAAGACCAGUGGAACAGAACAAAGACCCAGAUAUCCACACAGCUACACCCACCUGAUUUUUUUUUUUACAAAGGCACCCAAAACAUACGAUGAAGAAACAGCAGCCUUUUCAACAAAUGUUGCUGGGAAAACUGGGUAUUUGCAUGCAGAAAAUUGAAACUAGAUCCAUGUCUCUCAUCCUGUAUAAAAAAGUGGAUUAAGGACCUUCAUAUAAGGCCUGAAACUCUGAAGCUGGUGCAGGAAAGAGCAGGGAAUACACUGGAAUUAAUAGCCACAGGCAAGGACUUCCUCAAGAGAACUCCAGUGGCUCAGCAACCAAGAGAACGGAUUGACAAAUGGGACUACUUGAAAUUAAAAAGCUUCUGCACAACAAAAGAAAUGGUCUCCAGACUGAAGAGACUACCCACAGAAUGGGAGAAAAUCUUUGCAGCUAUACAUCAGACAAGGGAUUAAUAAUAAGAAUAUACAAGGAGCUCAAACAACUAAACUCCCUAAAAAUCAAUGAGCCAAUGAAGAAAUGGGCAAAUGAACUGAACAGGACCUUUUCAAGGAAGAAGUCCAAAUGGCUAAAAAUCACAUGAAAAAAUGUUCACCAUCUCUGGCCACAAAGGAAAUGCAAAUCAAAACCGCAUUAAGAUUCCACCUCACCCCUGUUAGAAUGGCUACCAUCAAGAACACCACCACCAACAAAUGUUGGCAAGGACAUGGGGAAAAAGGAACCCUCAUACACUGCUGGUAGGAAUGCAAGCUGGUGCAACCACUUUGGAAAACAGUGUGGAGGCUUCUUAAAGAACUAAACAUAGAAUUGCCAUAUGACCCAGCACCACCACUCCUAGGAAUAUACCCAAAGGAAUGUAAGUCAGGUCACAAUAAAGACACCAUGUUUAUUCA
This 1324-nucleotide long non-coding RNA is filed under the name Castor canadensis (American beaver). Its description in RNAcentral is "lncRNA (ENSCCNG00000024893.1)". The record is from RNAcentral. Lineage: Eukaryota; Metazoa; Chordata; Mammalia; Rodentia; Castoridae.